This 497-nucleotide ribosomal RNA is filed under the name uncultured bacterium. RNAcentral's name for it is "partial 16S ribosomal RNA". It matches the Rfam family "Bacterial small subunit ribosomal RNA", at positions 28 to 507 of the family's 1533-position model. The record is from RNAcentral.
GAUGAACGCUGGCGGCGUGCCUAAUACAUGCAAGUCGAGCGAACAGACGAGGAGCUUGCUCCUCUGACGUUAGCGGCGGACGGGUGAGUAACACGUGGAUAACCUACCUAUAAGACUGGGAUAACUUCGGGAAACCGGAGCUAAUACCGGAUAAUAUAUUGAACCGCAUGGUUCAAUAGUGAAAGACGGUUUUGCUGUCACUGAUAGAUGGAUCCGCGCCGCAUUAGCUAGUUGGUAAGGUAACGGCCUACCAAGGCGACGAUGCGUAGCCGACCUGAGAGGGUGAUCGGCCACACUGGAACUGAGACACGGUCCAGACUCCUACGGGAGGCAGCAGUAGGGAAUCUUCCGCAAUGGGCGAAAGCCUGACGGAGCAACGCCGCGUGAGUGAUGAAGGUCUUCGGAUCGUAAAACUCUGUUAUUAGGGAAGAACAAAUGUGUAAGUAACUAUGCACGUCUUGACGGUACCUAAUCAGAAAGCCACGGCUAACUACGUG